CCUACGGGAGGCAGCAGUGAGGAAUAUUGGUCAAUGGCCGUAAGGCUGAACCAGCCACGUCGCGUGAAGGAUGAAGGAUCUCUGGUUUGUAAACUUCUUUUAUAGGGGAAUAAAGAUAUCCACGUGUGGAUAUUUGUAUGUACCCUAUGAAUAAGCAUAGGCUAACUCCGGGCCAGCAGUCGCGGUAAUACGGAGGAUGCGAGCGUUAUCCGGAUUUAUUGGGUUUAAAGGGUGCGUCGGUGGUUUUUUAAGUCAGCGGUGAAAGUUUGUGGCUCAACCAUAAAAUUGCCGUUGAAACUGGAAGACUUGAGUGUGUUUGAGGUAGGCGGAAUGCGUGGUGUAGCGGUGAAAUGCAUAGAUAUCACGCAGAACUCCGAUUGCGAAGGCAGCUUACUAAGCCAUAACUGACACUGAAGCACGAAAGCGUGGGGAUCAAACAGGAUUAGAUACCCCGGUAGUC
Molecule: ribosomal RNA, 460 nt
Filed under: uncultured bacterium
Lineage: Bacteria
Description: partial 16S ribosomal RNA
Rfam family: Bacterial small subunit ribosomal RNA
Source: RNAcentral